CCGUGAGUGACACGCGGCGUCACGCGUGUGCGACGUGGCGUCAUGCGUGCUGUGCGUGGGACGUGUGUCGUCACGUGUGUCAUACGUGGCGUGUGUGACGUGUGUCGUCACAUGUGUGUCAUACGUGGCGUGUUCUCCCUUUCUCACAUGCGUGCUCUCCCUCACACACACGCAUGCUC
Molecule: long non-coding RNA, 179 nt
Filed under: Phasianus colchicus (ring-necked pheasant)
Lineage: Eukaryota; Metazoa; Chordata; Aves; Galliformes; Phasianidae
Description: lncRNA (ENSPCLG00000019081.1)
Source: RNAcentral